UGUGUGCUCGGGCAGCUGGCCUCGGUUCGGUUUGUGCCGGCAGGAGCCUUCCUCACGGGGGUUGGUGCCUCUUCUCCAGCCCUCGUAGGGCUUUGCCGGCCGGAAAAGUGGAAGGACACCAAGUUUGUGAAUCACCCUCACCAGUUCCUAAACCGAUGGAAUGCAGAACUAGCAGGGAAAGCCUACUUUACCUCACUGGAAUUGCCACAUCAAAUCAGGCCCGUGUAGUUUCCUGUUUCCAAAAUUAGACUUCGUUACAGUUACCAUCUUCAGAUGAGAUAGAAUCAACCUCCUGUUAGGACAGCUGUGAGAUAAUUGCACUUCAUGCUGGAGCUCCUCCUAAUUCCUAAUGAUUUUCAGUUGGCUCUACCCUUCAGGCAGUGAUACAGUUUUUUGCCUCUAGUCAUUAUAAAGCUAAUAAAUUUUCCAGAAACACCAACUUUUUUUUUUUUUUUUUUAAUCUUACUAAUCUUUUGAUCUGAAGAUGUCACUGACUUCUUGUGAAACUGAGUUCAAUUAUUUGUGGUUACCGGCUUUUCUUUGUCUGGAAUUUUGAUUAACAAGAACACAGUCCUUAUCAUUCUUCAUCUGGGAAAACAAAACAAAACAAAAAACUACUGGGUCUGUUUUUUUGAUUGUGUGAGUAAUGUGCAUAAUCUGAGAACCAAUUCUGAUGGCACCUACAUUUACCAUGCUCAUACUGCAAUGCUUGCCCUAGCAGUUCUCUUUCUCUGUCUCUUGCCCAUAGCCUCCACCCAGAAGUAUCUGCAACAGGUACCUCAGAAAGAGGUUAAAAUCAUUAAGACUGGAAAAGACCUCCAAGAUCAUCUGGUCUAACCAUCCCCUUGCCACCAGUAUCACCCACUAAACCAUGUCACAGGUUAUCUUAACACUUACUUUUAAAGAAUGUGAUCUUUAAAAAACAUGUAUGUUCUAUGGUUUCGCCUGAAGAGGAAUGUGACAUACAGCAGAACAAUAAAAAUUAGAAGUUGUAAACCUAAACCUAGAUAACUGUAUCUAACUUGAACAUACCCUGAUAUGAGCAGCUGGAGGAAAAGAGUUGGCUUUGCAGCUGUCUGAGCUAUGGAAGCAUAUGCUCUUCACUCAGUUUCUUCCAAUUCCUCUUCUGAAGUAAAAGCCUUGUAGCUCAUUUCCUGCCUGAGUGUAACUUUUUGCCCAUUUUAUCUGUGAGCUCUCAAACUUUCAAGAAACAGAAUAAUUCUUUGGAUGUUUAGAGAAGCAAAGGAAAGACAUAUAGUUUUUUAUUUGCUACAAGCAAAGUCUUCAAGGAGCAAUUAAAAGCUUGCUGCUCUGUCUCCCAAGGACAGCUUUUGGAAGAAGAGGGCCACAUCUACUGCCAGUAUGUGGUGAAGCAGAUGGGCAAAAGCAUCACUAGGGAGAAAAGAAUGGAGGACAGAAGAGACAUUAAAGCACUGCAGCCUAAGGAUUUCUUCUUAAGGAUGCAAAUUAGAUGUCUUUACAACCAGUCUCUUCAAUAACGAAGAUCUUUUGGGAAAGAAGUUUAUGUAGGAUAUAUGUAGCUCCAGAACAACCUCUGUAAAGCCAAUUACCAGGUCUCAGUCACUCAGCUUUUCCUUCUGUAAAUUCUCUCCCUGUGUUGGUACUUGUUCCCUGCUAGUAGCAGCGAUUGUUGCCGUAUGUCUGCAUGACUUAAAGCACAAGCUCGGUUUAUAAGACACCAUGGCAGCUGAGAUCCAACUUCUGCUACUAUAAAGAUUUCUCUUACUGUAAGUAUAAGCCUGCUAUUGUUUCCUUUUCACAUUCCCUCCAAAGAGGUUUAUGCUUUGUUUUGUUGGGUUUUCUCUUCCACUAACAUCUGUAAAUAUUUUGACUACGCUUCCUGAUGCUGUAGACCAUCCAAAGAUCUUUCUGUGUCCAAAGUUUAUUAUGUCCUUUCAGGACAGUUCAUAAAGAAAAAUAUGAUUUUA
Long non-coding RNA from Oxyura jamaicensis (ruddy duck), 1949 nucleotides. RefSeq lists it as uncharacterized. The transcript is spliced from 3 exons. Lineage: Eukaryota; Metazoa; Chordata; Aves; Anseriformes; Anatidae. The record is from RefSeq and is a predicted model, not a curated record.